GCUCGUCCUCGACCACUGCGGCGGAGGCCGUGGGGUCCGGCUCCGCCGCGGCGGGCGUGACGCCGCCCAGGCCGAUCGAUCCGGCCGCGAGCACC
RNAcentral lists this transfer RNA (95 nucleotides) under Microtetraspora sp. NBRC 16547. Its description in RNAcentral is "tRNA-Arg". Lineage: Bacteria; Bacillati; Actinomycetota; Actinomycetes; Streptosporangiales; Streptosporangiaceae. The record is from RNAcentral.